Molecule: ribosomal RNA, 600 nt
Filed under: uncultured bacterium
Lineage: Bacteria
Description: bacterial SSU rRNA
Rfam family: Bacterial small subunit ribosomal RNA
Source: RNAcentral
CUGACGCUCAUGCACGAAAGCGCGGGUAGCGAACAGGAUUAGAUACCCUGGUAGUCCGCGCGGUAAACGAUGAUUACUCAUUGUGCACACGUAGAUAGGUGUGCGUGACUAAGCGAAAGCGAUAAGUAAUCCACCUGGGGAGUACGGCGGCAACGCUGAAACUCAAAGGAAUUGACGGGGGCCCGCACAAGCGGAGGAACAUGUGGUUUAAUUCGAUGAUACGCGAGGAACCUUACCCGGGCUCAAACGCAUAUUGAAGGAGUAAAAAUAUUCUGGCUUAGCAAUAAGAGAUAUGCGAGGUGCUGCAUGGUUGUCGUCAGCUCGUGCCGUGAGGUGUUGGCUUAAGUGCCAUAACGAGCGCAACCCUUGUCCAUAUUUGCCAGCGGGUCAAGCCGGGAACUCUAUGGAGACUGCCGCCGUAAGGUGCGAGGAAGGUGGGGAUGACGUCAAAUCAGCACGGCCCUUACGUCCGGGGCGACACACGUGUUACAAUGGCCGGUACAGCAGGCAGCGAUAUUGUGAAAUAAAGCCAAUCCUGAAAGCCGGUCUCAGUUCGGACUGGAGUCUGGAACUCGACUCCACGAAGCUGGAUUCGCUAGU